RNAcentral lists this ribosomal RNA (244 nucleotides) under uncultured bacterium. RNAcentral's name for it is "partial 16S ribosomal RNA". It matches the Rfam family "Bacterial small subunit ribosomal RNA", at positions 15 to 263 of the family's 1533-position model. The record is from RNAcentral.
GAUCCUGGCUCAGAUUGAACGCUGGCGGCAUGCCUUACACAUGCAAGUCGAACGGUAACAGGUCUUCGGACGCUGACGAGUGGCGAACGGGUGAGUAAUACAUCGGAACGUGCCCAGUCGUGGGGGAUAACUACUCGAAAGAGUAGCUAAUACCGCAUACGAUCUGAGGAUGAAAGUGGGGGACCUUCGGGCCUCGCGCGAUUGUAGCGGCCGAUGGCAGAUUAGGUAGUUGGUGGGAUAAAAG